GAGGCCCCACCGCCCGCGCGCCUCACCCGGGUUGUCCCAGCGCCCGAGCCGCUCUGCGGGGCCCGAGGGAGAUGCAGGCUCGGCGCGGGGGCCUCGGACCUCAGCCCCCUUUCCUCCUCGACGUCCCCGGCUCCCGCCAGGCGAACUAUUCGUACGUAACAUUACACUAUUUCGCAAGGCUUCUUAACCCCACAAAAUUAACACAGGUAAAAAAUUUUAAAUCAAAACAAAAACAGAAAAAGAAUCUGUUAAAGCAAUAUUAACUUUUUUA
This 271-nucleotide long non-coding RNA is filed under the name Dasypus novemcinctus (nine-banded armadillo). RNAcentral describes it as "lncRNA (ENSDNOG00000052151.1)". Lineage: Eukaryota; Metazoa; Chordata; Mammalia; Cingulata; Dasypodidae. The record is from RNAcentral.